CUAACGCCAUUAAGUGCCCCGCCUGGGGAGUACGGCCGCAAGGCUAAAACUCAAAGGAAUUGACGGGGGGCCCGCACAAGCGGCGGAGCAUGCGGAUUAAUUCGAUGCAACGCGAAGAACCUUACCAAGGCUUGACAUGUGCCAGACCGCCGUGGAAACACGGUUUUCCCCUUUGGGGCUGGUUCACAGGUGGUGCAUGGUUGUCGUCAGCUCGUGUCGUGAGAUGUUGGGUUAAGUCCCGCAACGAGCGCAACCCUCGUUCCAUGUUGCCAGCACGUAGUGGUGGGGACUCAUGGGAGACUGCCGGGGUCAACUCGGAGGAAGGUGGGGACGACGUCAAAUCAUCAUGCCCCUUAUGUCUUGGGCUUCACGCAUGCUACAAUGGCCGGUACAAUGGGUUGCGAUACUGUGAGGUGGAGCUAAUCCCAAAAAGCCGGUCUCAGUUCGGAUUGGGGUCUGCAACUCGACCCCAUGAAGUCGGAGUCGCUAGUAAUCGCAGAUCAGCAACGCUGCGGUGAAUACGUUCCCGGGCCUUGUACACACCGCCCGUCAAGUCACGAAAGUUGGUAACA
This 572-nucleotide ribosomal RNA is filed under the name Paeniglutamicibacter sulfureus. Its description in RNAcentral is "bacterial SSU rRNA". It matches the Rfam family "Bacterial small subunit ribosomal RNA", at positions 852 to 1419 of the family's 1533-position model. The record is from RNAcentral. Lineage: Bacteria; Bacillati; Actinomycetota; Actinomycetes; Micrococcales; Micrococcaceae.